UAAUUAGAGAGUUUGAUCCUGGCUCAGAUUGAACGCUGGUGGCAUGCUUAACACAUGCAAGUCGAACGGUAACAGGCUAAGACAAUCCCUUCGGGGUGCGUUGUGCGCUGACGAGUGGCGGACGGGUGAGUA
RNAcentral lists this ribosomal RNA (132 nucleotides) under Gammaproteobacteria bacterium. Its description in RNAcentral is "partial 16S ribosomal RNA". It matches the Rfam family "Bacterial small subunit ribosomal RNA", at positions 1 to 112 of the family's 1533-position model. The record is from RNAcentral. Lineage: Bacteria; Pseudomonadati; Pseudomonadota; Gammaproteobacteria.